Molecule: transfer RNA, 123 nt
Organism: Coprinopsis cinerea okayama7#130
Lineage: Eukaryota; Fungi; Basidiomycota; Agaricomycetes; Agaricales; Psathyrellaceae
Rfam family: tRNA
About the family: Transfer RNA (tRNA) molecules are approximately 80 nucleotides in length.
Source: Rfam
GCCCGCCUAGCUCAAUCGGAUAGAGCGUCAGACUCUUACAAACCGUCUAGGAUAGGGUACAGACCUUCCUUGUUUGGAUAUACGGAAAUCUGAAGGCUGCGAGUUCGACCCUCGCGGUGGGCU